GGGGACGUAGCUCAGUGGGAGAGCACAUGACUGAAGAUCAUGGUGUCCCGGGUUCGAAUCCCGGCGUCCCCA
RNAcentral lists this transfer RNA (72 nucleotides) under Candidatus Pacearchaeota archaeon. RNAcentral describes it as "tRNA-Phe". It matches the Rfam family "tRNA". Rfam says of the family: Transfer RNA (tRNA) molecules are approximately 80 nucleotides in length. Their secondary structure includes four short double-helical elements and three loops (D, anti-codon, and T loops). Lineage: Archaea; Nanobdellati. The record is from RNAcentral.